RNAcentral lists this ribosomal RNA (567 nucleotides) under uncultured freshwater bacterium. RNAcentral's name for it is "bacterial SSU rRNA". It matches the Rfam family "Bacterial small subunit ribosomal RNA", at positions 8 to 572 of the family's 1533-position model. The record is from RNAcentral.
AGAGUUUGAUCCUGGCUCAGAUUGAACGCUGGCGGCAUGCCUUACACAUGCAAGUCGAACGGUAACGCGGGGCAACCUGGCGACGAGUGGCGAACGGGUGAGUAACGCAUCGGAACGUGCCCAGUAGUGGGGGAUAGCCCGGCGAAAGCCGGAUUAAUACCGCAUACGACCUACGGGUGAAAGCGGGGGACCGUAAGGCCUCGCGCUAUUGGAGCGGCCGAUGUCAGAUUAGGUAGUUGGUGGGGUAAAAGCCUACCAAGCCGACGAUCUGUAGCUGGUCUGAGAGGACGACCAGCCACACUGGGACUGAGACACGGCCCAGACUCCUACGGGAGGCAGCAGUGGGAAAUUUUGGACAAUGGGCGCAAGCCUGAUCCAGCCAUGCCGCGUGCGGGAUGAAGGCCUUCGGGUUGUAAACCGCUUUUGUCAGGGAAGAAACGCUCCGGGCCAAUACCCUGNGGUAAUGACGGUACCUGAAGAAUAAGCACCGGCUAACUACGUGCCAGCAGCCGCGGUAAUACGUAGGGUGCAAGCGUUAAUCGGAAUUACUGGGCGUAAAGCGUGCGC